UACAGAGGGUGCGAGCGUUAAUCGGAAUUACUGGGCGUAAAGCGCACGUAGGUGGCGACGUAAGUCGGGUGUGAAAGCCCCGGGCUCAACCUGGGAAUUGCAUUCGAGACUGCAUUGCUGGAGUACGGAAGAGGAAGGCGGAAUUCCCGGUGUAGCGGUGAAAUGCGUAGAUAUCAGGAAGAACACCCGUGGCGAAGGCGGCUCUCUGGGACGGUACUGACGCUGAGACGCGAAAGCGUGGGGAGCGAACAGG
Molecule: ribosomal RNA, 253 nt
Filed under: uncultured bacterium
Lineage: Bacteria
Description: partial 16S ribosomal RNA
Rfam family: Bacterial small subunit ribosomal RNA
Source: RNAcentral